UGCUGGAGGUAUCAGAAGUGCGAAUGCUGACAUAAGUAACGAUAAAGCGGGUGAAAAGCCCGCUCGCCGGAAGACCAAGGGUUCCUGUCCAACGUUAAUCGGGGCAGGGUGAGUCGACCCCUAAGGCGAGGCCGAAAGGCGUAGUCGAUGGGAAACAGGUUAAUAUUCCUGUACUUGGUGUUACUGCGAAGGGGGGACGGAGAAGGCUAUGUUAGCCGGGCGACGGUUGUCCCGGUUUAAGCAUGUAGGCUGGUUAUCCAGGCAAAUCCGGAUAAUCAAGGCUGAGGUGUGAUGACGAGGCACUACGGUGCUGAAGUAACAAAUGCCCUGCUUCCAGGAAAAGCCUCUAAGCAUCAGGUAACAU
RNAcentral lists this ribosomal RNA (364 nucleotides) under Klebsiella pneumoniae. Its description in RNAcentral is "partial 23S ribosomal RNA". It matches the Rfam family "Bacterial large subunit ribosomal RNA", at positions 1271 to 1637 of the family's 2925-position model. Lineage: Bacteria; Pseudomonadati; Pseudomonadota; Gammaproteobacteria; Enterobacterales; Enterobacteriaceae. The record is from RNAcentral.